RNAcentral lists this long non-coding RNA (1329 nucleotides) under Papio anubis (olive baboon). RNAcentral's name for it is "lncRNA (ENSPANG00000048669.1)". The record is from RNAcentral. Lineage: Eukaryota; Metazoa; Chordata; Mammalia; Primates; Cercopithecidae.
CCAAUUUCUUGAGGAUGAGGAGAAACACAACUGCCUCCGCCAAGGUACCAGCCUCUAGAGUCAGUAAGCCAAUACUUACCACUUCAUUUAAAACCCAUGCAGUGCCCACAGAUGUGAUUAUAUAAUUACGAUCAAAUGGCAACCCGUGUGUGAGUCCUGAAUCAUUUGUCCUGGAAUGGAUAGAGCUAUUUAUAAUCACAGCGAGGCUGGGGAACACAGUAACUGUGGACAAAGGCAACUAAUUUCUAGCCCAGAGGCUGAGGCUGAAAGGAAGCCUCAUGAUGGGGCAGCCGCCAGUUGUGAGCAGAACAGUUCACACCGGCCAAUGGCCACCGGUGAGUGACCUCGCAGAGCUGCAGUCUCGGAGCAAUGGACAAGCCUUCCCAGGGAAUCGUGAGGGAGUGGCUCUUAGCAAUAAACCACCAGCUAGCCUUGGCACAGAGAGGUGAGGCUGAAGAGAGUCCUGAGGCAUCUUUUCUUGUAUUCACUUGCUGGGUUGAGUAUUUUGGCUCCUUAUAAAAGCACAGAUGCCAAACGAGGAGUUUUGGAGGGGGCAGAGGCUCAGUGAUAGGAAUAAAAUAGUUAUUUUCAUAUUCACAGAGCUGAGUUUUAUUUCCAAGGAGGGAAAAUUGGGAACUAAAGUAGGCAAGUAGUUUAUUCCCCAGAAGGAUUACUGCAAGGACUUACCUGCAUUCAGUGGCCAGUUAGGCAAGCAGGCCAAGAUGGGCUAGAGCAGAGCAACGUCGGCAGGAGGCGCCUAUCAUAUAGAGUGCAUUGGACAAUGGUUUCCAUUACUACUAACAGAGUUCAUUACUCUAGAAUUUUUGCUUUAAAGAUCUCUGACUUUCUGACUCCAUGGAAUGGAGCUAACUUUUGAAAGACGGAUGUUGGAGAAGAAUUAUCUUAGCAGACAUGAGGAAAGGUCUGACUCUCCUGUGAACGUAAUGAGCUCAUAAAUGUCUCCAUCCCUUCGCCAUGUGUCAAGAGAAUGAGAAGGCUCCUUCCAGACCCUGCCCCCAGAAGCCAUUUUCCUGGAGCACUUAUUCGCACCAUAGCCUAAGCAAGAAUGCAAGACAUCAUGGUUUUGUGGGUCCAGGCCACUCCUUUAUUUUGGGGGCCUUUGAUGUCCAAGAGCAAGUUCUGACCAGAGCUGACCUCAUUGUUUGGACACAGGAUCCUGCUAGACCUACCUUAUACUGACAUCUGCUGGUCAUCUCCGGGUCAUCUUCAGUAAUAGUUAAUCAAAAUGGAGAAAGACUUUUGAGUUGUUUCCCAGAGUAUGCUGAACUUAAUUUUUCCUCAGCUUUCAAGGCUUUCACCAAGAUAUGC